UACGUAGGGUCCGAGCGUUGUCCGGAAUUAUUGGGCGUAAAGGGCUCGUAGGCGGUUUGUUGCGUCGGGAGUGAAAACCCAGGGCUUAACUCUGGGCUUGCUUUCGAUACGGGCAGACUUGAGGCAUUGAGGGGAGAACGGAAUUCCUGGUGUAGCGGUGAAAUGCGCAGAUAUCAGGAGGAACACCGGUGGCGAAGGCGGUUCUCUGGGCCUGUACUGACGCUGAGGAGCGAAAGCGUGGGGAGCGAACAGG
RNAcentral lists this ribosomal RNA (253 nucleotides) under uncultured bacterium. Its description in RNAcentral is "partial 16S ribosomal RNA". It matches the Rfam family "Bacterial small subunit ribosomal RNA", at positions 524 to 776 of the family's 1533-position model. The record is from RNAcentral.